GCCUCUAGCGAGUAGGAAGCGCGUCAGUUCAUAAAUCACUCCAGCGAGUUAUCUGAAGGUCGUGAGUUCGAUCCUCACCGAGGCA
Molecule: non-coding RNA, 85 nt
Organism: Araneus ventricosus
Lineage: Eukaryota; Metazoa; Arthropoda; Arachnida; Araneae; Araneidae
Source: the annotation of a GenBank genome assembly